AGGGAAAAAAAAAAGGAUUUGUCUUGUAGCCAGGAUAUUGUUUUAAAGAAAAUCCUUUUUGUUUUUCCAG
Molecule: microRNA precursor, 70 nt
Organism: Homo sapiens (human)
Lineage: Eukaryota; Metazoa; Chordata; Mammalia; Primates; Hominidae
Source: Ensembl